UACAUUUAUUUCGAUCCUUGUUUUGAAAUAUUGCAUCUCUCUCUCUCUCUCGCACACUGUACAUAUGCAUGUUGUUUUCUUGUCUCUAAACUAAUUUUAUGAAGAAGAAAGAAGAACAAUGAAAGAAAACGAGAGAAGUCGAAAAGGUGAAGCUCUUUGUAGAACAAAACUAACAGAGCAUUUUUGGUUCCUUCAUAUCACUGUCUUAAAAUUGCACACACUCGAUGCUUACAUUCAGUUGGAAUCCAAGGUGGAUUCACAUUCAUUACAAAAGCAAUCUCAACCCUUCAUCUAGCUAUAUGCUAGGAUCAUGACACCUGGCAUUAUUUGCCUUACAACUAUAUAUCUUCUCACUUAGAAUUUUAUCAUAAGUGCCUACACAUUUUAAUAUCACAACUUAUUUCAAUAACAGCUAUAGACUUAUAGUUCAACACUCCCCUUUAAGUCUAAAGCUGAUUUGACCCCAAGCUUGCUUCUGAGAAAAUUAAACCGAUCCUUGGCGAGAGACUUUGUAAAGAUAUCUGCCAAUUGCUCUUCUGUGGGACAAUAGAUCAGAUCAAUGAUGCCUUCCUUUAGUGCAUCUUUGAUAAAGUGAUACCUCCUGUCAAUGUGUUUAGUCUUCUGAUGAAAUACAGAAUUCUUAGUAAUUGCAAUAGCAGAAGUAUUAUCACAGUGAAGAGGAGUAGCUUCAGUUUGUAAUUCUCCAAAAUCUUCCAAAACAAACCUCAGCCAUAUUGUUUGAGCCAUGGCUUCUGAUGCACUUACAUAUUCAGCCUCUGCAGUUGAGAGUGCAACAUACUUUUGUUUGACAGAAGCCCAAGAAAAUACACCACUACCAAAUGAGAAUGCAUAUCCUGAUGUGCUUUUGCUGUCCUCCAAUGAACCACCCCAAUCACUGUCACAAAAACCAAUUAAACAAGCUUUUCUUCCUUUUACAUACUCCAGGCCAUAAUCCAAAGUCCCCUUGAUGUACCUGAGCACCCUCUUUGCAGUUCCAUAGUGCCUAUUAGUAGGACAAUGCAUAAAUCUUGCCAAUAAACUUGCUGCAUACAUUAUAUUCGGCCUUGUAGCUGUAAGAUAUAAGAGACUUCCCACAAUACUCCUAUACAUCUCCUCAUUUGCAGAUCCACUUCCAUCAUCUUUAGACAAUUUCUCAGUAGCUACAAGAGGGGUUGAAACAGUCUUUGCUUCAUUUAAUCCAAACUUGCUCAGUAAAGAACUUGCAUAUUUCGUCUGAUGAAUGAAAAUGCUAGAAUCUGUUUGAAUCACUCCCAUCCCAAGAAAAUGAUGAAGAAGUCCCAGAUCUGUCAUUACAUACUUCAUCUUCAUAUCUUCCUUGAACUCUUCUAGCAUUGACUUGCUACUACCAGUGUAGACUAUAUCAUCUACAUAGAUGGAAACAAUCAAAACAUCUUCUCCCCUUGUCUUUAUAUAUAGAGUUGGUCCACUCAAGCUUUUCUUGAAAUCACAUUGUGAGAAAUGAUUGUCAAUUUCUCCAUACCAAGCUCUUGGAGCUUGCUUUAGACCAUAGAGAGCCUUAUGCAGCUUGUACACUUUGUCCUCCUUGCCUUUUACUACAAAGCCUUCAGGUUGCUCAACAUAAACCUCUUCUUGCAAUACUCCAUUCAAGAAAGCUGAUUUCACAUCUAACUGAUACAACUUCCAACUCUUUUGUGCAGCCAAGGCUAUCAAAGUUCUGAUAGUCUCUAAUCUAGCAACCGGUGCAUAGGUCUCAUUGUAGUCUAGACUAGGCUUUUGUGCAUACCCCUUUGCAACCAGCCUUGCUUUGUUCUUCAACACUGAGCCAUCAAGAUUUAACUUUGUUUUGUAGACCCAUUUAACCCCUAUAACAGGUUUUCCAGUUGGUCUGUCAACAAGCUCCCAGGUGCCAUUCUUCUCAAUCAUGAAUAAUUCAUCCUCCAUAGCCUUUAACCAAGACUCAUCUUGUUUGGCAUCCUCAUAUUUUUCUGGAUCCAUGACACACAGGUUGCAUUGAGCCAACACAUCACUCAGAUUCCUCCACUUCAAUGGUGUGUGAUCAUAUGCUUGAUUGACAUCCUUAUCCAAAUUUAACAUGCUUGCAGAUUCCUCUGUAAUGAGUGACUUGGAUUGAACUUCAGAGUCUUCAAUACUUAGCACUCUCCUAGAUGGAGAUAAUGCAGAUGAUGUAGGAGAUAGUACCAAACUGUCAUCAAUUCCUAUGUUUGCAUCAUUAUAAACAAAACUUCCUGUAUUGUGAGUAAUAGACUUUGAAGACUUUUCUUCCCAAUUCCAGAUAGCUUCUUCAUCAAACACAAUGUCUCUAAACAAAAUUAGUUUCUUAGAGAGUGGAUCAAAUACCUUAUACCUUUUUUCGCAGAUUGCAUAUCCCACAAAUACUCCUUUGAAGCCUUUUAGGUUCAAGUUUGUCUCUGUUCACUUGGAACAUGAACAUAACAUAGAGAUCCAAAUACUCUCAGGUGGGCUAUCCUUGGUUUUCUACCGGAAUAAGCUUCAAAAGGUGUGAUGUUGUUCAAAGCCUUUGUGGGACAUCGAUUUAGGAUAUAUACAGAUGUAUGAACUGCUUCUGCCCAGAGAGAAUAUGGCAUCCUCUUCUCAUGCAACAUAGCUUUUGCCAUUUGAAUCACGGUUCUGUUCUUCCUCUCCACUACUCCAUUUUGUUGUGGAGUAUAUGCAAGAGUAAGUUGUCUUUGUAUUCCUUCUUUUUCACAGAACUGAUCAAAUGCUGAUGACUUGAACUCCCCUCAUCUAUCACUUCUCAGAGUCUUAAUCUUGAAAUCACUUUGUAAUUCUGCCAUAGCUUUGAAUUUCUUAAAACAGUUGAAUGCAUCAGACUUAUAUCUCAAGAAAUAGACCCAAAUCAUUCUGGUAAAAUCAUCUAUCAGCAGCAUGAAAUACUUAUUUCCAGCAAUUGUCUCAGUCUUCAUAGGUCCACACAAAUCAACAUGAAUCAGUUCAAGUGGAGCAGUUGCUCUGUGCACUUGAUUUCUUGGGAAUUCUUCUCUGUGUUGUUUACCAAAUUGGCAACCUUCACAGACUCCAUUGUAGUCUGUAAGCUGUGGCAAACCAUGUACCAUUUCCUUGUCUCUCAAUUGUUUGAGACCACCAAAGUGUAAAUGUCCAAGUCUCCUGUGCCAAGUCUCAGUAGAGUGAGUGACACUAGCUUUCAACACCAUUUGAUUCUCAGAGAGCAAAGUCAGUGGAUAACACCUAUUCACUUUCUUUUUCACUCUCAUAACCAAGCAUUCCAGUGAUGGACCAUCAUACACACUGCACAUUCCACCUCCAAACACCAAGAAAUAUCCAUGCUCAUCCAUUUGACCAACACUGAGUAAGUUCUCCUUUAAACUGGGAAGAUACAUUACUUCUCUAACAUACUUUCUGCCUUUAUUUGUAUCAAUAACCAAUGAUCCCAUUCCUGCAACAUUCACAAGAUCUCCAGCCGGCAUUUGAACUUUGCCAGCUACAUUGGUUCUGACCUCAACAAGCAAAUCUACAUUUCCUGUCAUGUGAUUGCUACAACCACUAUCUAUGUACCACUCUCCAUUCACCUUUGGUUCUGACUGUGUUGUUUGCAUAAAACAGAUUCCCUAUCCUCUCCAAUUGAUUUGCACUGUUUGCCUUUUGCACUGUUUUAGCUGCAGUACAUUCUCUAGCCCAAUGCCCAAAUUUGUCACAAUUGAAGCAUUUUGGUUUCCCUUUGUAUCUACACUCACCAAAAUGAUAUUUAGAACACACUUUGCAUUGAGGUUUUGUGACUUCUUGACUCAUUGAUCGGGAUACAUUCAAAUUCUGAUAAGUAUUUAGAGGAGAUUUCUGCUGGAAUUUAGGUUUUGAUUCCCAUUUCUUGCAUUUAGAAUUCCAGUUUCUUUGAGAUCUGGAUGAAACAGAGUAAACACCACUCUUAUUUUGUUCCUUUUGAUUCACAGAGAGAGAAGAGAAUGCUCUCUCAGUUGCAUUAACAGUAUGCAAGUCAAACCGUUGUUCUUGGCUUUUUAAAAUUGCAACUACCUCCUGCAACUCUACAGUCUCCAAACACUUUGUAUUCUCGAUAACUAGACAUAUGGGGUCAUAUGGUUUACUAAGGCUUAUCAAGACCUUAUGUACUAAUCUCUCAUUUGAAAGAAUUUCACCAAACGUUUUCAUCUGAUUUAUCACAUCAUUUAGCCUAGUAAGAUACCCAGACAGAGUUUCAUCAUCACGCAUUUUGGCAUACUCAAAUUCACGUCUCAGAUUUUGCAAUUUUACAGAUCAUACCUGAUCACCACCGUGAUAUUCUCCAUACAGCAAAUCCCAAGCCAUCUUUGCUGAUUCAGCAUUAGCAAUUCGAGGGAAGAUCUGAUCCGAGACUGCAUUCUGAAUGAUCCCAGAGCCUUUGCGUCUUGCAUAUAUGCAGCCACAGUUUUCUCAUCUUCUUCCUCUUCUGAACUUCCUUCAGCUUUCUUCUUCUCCUUUGAAUCUGAGUUCGUAACUCCUUUUUCCACUAAUCUCCAUAACCCAUGAGAUUUGAAAAUCGUCAUCAUCUUGAUUCUCCAGAACUCGUAGUUCUCACUGGAGAAGAUUGGAGUUCUCACCUCAGAACUUCCAGAUCCAGCCAUCUCUUAGCUUAGAUGAUACGAGCACAAAUCGAAAAACAGGUUCUAUGGAAUUCCGGCGACUGUUCACCUAGCUUCGAGUGAGCUUCGAUUCAGCUCAGGGAAAUCACAGAUUUUCGCCCAGACUCAGAUGAUUGAACUAGGCUCUGAUACCAUGUUGUUUUUCUUGUCUCUAAACUAAUUUUAUGAAGAAGAAAGAAGAACAAUGAAAGAAAACGAGAGAAGUCGAAAAGGUGAAGCUCUCUGCAGAACAAAACUAACAGAGCAUUUUUGGUUUCUUCAUAUCACUGUCUUAAAAUUGCACACACUCGGUGCUUACAUUCAGUUGGAAUCCAAGGUGGAUUCACAUUCAUUACAAAGCAAUCUCAACCCUUCAUCUAGCUAUAUGCUAGGAUCAUGACACCUGGCAUUAUUUGCCUUACAACUAUAUAUCUUCUCACUUAGAAUUUUAUCAUAAGUGCCUACACAUUUUAAUAUCACAACUUAUUUCAAUAACAGCAAUAGACUUAUAGUUCAACAAUGCAAACACUUUGCUAUACAAAAGAAUGAAUAGAGUGGGUAUGUGCUUGCAUAUCUUUUCGGUGAUGACAUUAGUUCUAUAAUAUUGGUCAAGGAAAUAUAUUAAAAAAAAAAAAAGGUGUCGG
Molecule: non-coding RNA, 5239 nt
Organism: Malus domestica (apple)
Lineage: Eukaryota; Viridiplantae; Streptophyta; Magnoliopsida; Rosales; Rosaceae
Source: RefSeq, a predicted model, not a curated record